CAGUGGAUCAUGUGGUUUAAUUCGAAGCUACACGAAGAACCUUACCAGGGCUUGACAUCCUAGGAACCUUCUGGAGACAAGGGCCCUAUACAGGUGUGACGAGCGCAACCCUUGUCGUAUGUUGGGGAUGUCAGGUAGCAUGACCCUUACGCCCUGGCUACAUACAUGGCCGGUACACGCGUUGCCAAAUCGCAAGAUGGAGCUUCGCAUCAAAACCGGUCCCAGUUCGGAUUGAGGUGCAACUCGCCCUCAUGAAGCCGGAAUUGCUAGUAAACGGAGUCAGCAUAUCACGUUGAAUACGUUCCCGGGUCUUGUACACACCGCCGUCACACCACGAAAGUUGGGGAUACCCGAAGUGCCUAUUUACUAGGCCCUAAGUAGAUUCAGCGAUUGGGGUGAAGUCGUACAAGGC
RNAcentral lists this ribosomal RNA (412 nucleotides) under uncultured bacterium. RNAcentral's name for it is "bacterial SSU rRNA". It matches the Rfam family "Bacterial small subunit ribosomal RNA", at positions 930 to 1497 of the family's 1533-position model. The record is from RNAcentral.